AAGAUUGGAACAAGUGAUAACAGGGAAGUGGAGAAGAAAUGAGAGGAGCAUGGUGUUAAAACAGGGUAUGGUAAGAAGGAAUAAGUGAUGAGGUGUGAAUUCAGAUUUAAAUCUUGAAUUUCAGAUAGCUAAGUUUAUACUCAUGACCUUCUGGCCAGGGUCGGGUCAGAAUGAUAGUAGAGUGACAAAAACGUUUGGAGGUUUUGAAGACUGAGAAGCUGUCAUUUGAAGUGGAGAAUUAUAUUUAAAACAAGCAGGAAUUGCCAUACUGUCACUUUGAAAAUCAACACUGAUUUGCACAGCACAAGUUUAAGUUACAGUUUUGAAAGUAAGCACCAGUAAAACAAAAAUAGGAAGAAUCUUAGAAUCAGAGUGAGAAUGUGAGACAGAGUGGUAGUGUCAGUGAGAGGCAGACAUAGAAAGAGGUCAAGGCUUCUGUUGUUUUCUCUUCCAGUACAGGACUAACAAAAGGCGCUCCAAGGCCUUCAGCUGUGCAGCCCUGACUCCCACUCUCUCUCUCUUAUCAAUAGGAUCAAAGGUGGCCAAUUCAGCUAUGCCAAAAACACCCCCUCUAGACACAGGGAUGGCACCAGUACUGCCACUUGAGCCUUGCUACUCAGACUGGUCCAGAAGGAAUAACUCCAUCUGGGGUGUCGACAAUUUUUCCAUUGGGACAACUCCAAUAUAUUUCACAGGGGCACUGCAUUGGAAGUUGCAUGGAUUGUGAGUAACCUGUAUCUGUGGGAUUUUGGAUUACCUGCGUGUUAUGGACUUGCUCUGCACCAUUCUGUGUUCGCCCUGUGUUGCAGUCACCUGCAGAUUUGGAGUCUAACACCCUGUACUUCUUACCAGUAUACACUGAUCGGACCAUGCUGGCUGACCUGGAUUACAACCACCAUGUCCACAGACCAGUCAGGAGAAAAGAUGACAUUUCACAAGUGACAUUUGGAUGUCAUUAUUGGAGACAUAAGAUAGACAUAAAUAUAGUUGCUUGAUUGUUCAUGCUGCAAGUGUAAAGAAAAGGCAUUUAUCAUUUUCAAUGUUUUAUUUAAAAAAUAAUUAAAAUAUUAUCUAGAACAGGAAAAAAUAUCCUUUGUAUUUUCUCUACCCUCCUGGGAAUAAAACAAUGUACAGGUAUUCAUCCACACAAUGGAUUAGCACUGUGUCAGUUGGUGACAUUAUCAUUAUCUUACACCCUGCUAGGAUUAAACCUCUGUAUUGUUCUAGUGGAUCAGGAUAACAGUUGUAUAUCUUGGCUUGCACCUCGUCCUCCCCUGCCUCUUCUUCCUCGGACCCUGGCUCCCCCCCCCCCCCCCCCCCACCUCUGCUUGCUUCGACCCCGGUUCUGUCCCGGUCUGUGCUUGGCUCUGGAGUGCAGUCCUCAUCAGAGACAAUAUUGCUGUCACCGUGGAAGCUCUAACAUGCAAAACAACGUACAUAUUAUGAGCCUAACACAAAAUUUACAUUUGUGUAGUGUAACUGAUGGUAACAGAAAAAUGUGUAUCAGCCUGUUUUUAGCUUUGCCCAAUGUUACCGCAGGUGUUACCACAGCUACCUGUUAGCUAACUUUACUAACAGUUAGCUAACUUUAUGUUAGCUAAUUGUUAGUUACUGAAUCAAAAUAAGUCUUUUUAAACCCAUCCGAUAUUGACGUGGUAGCUAGAUAGUGAGUACUAACAGCCGUGUUGAGUACCUAACUUAAUACUGAAUUAGCUGGUAUAUCCUGAAUGUAAUCAACACAUGGAGCUUCUGCGUUUACUUGCUUUAUUGUCUGAACACAGGCUAUUGCCAUCCCACAACCACGUCUUCCCGCUAUCUCCCCCCAUUACUUCCUGUUUCACUAGACACAUGGCAUCUCUAAACCAAUUCAUGACAUCCUGUCUUUUCUUGGAAAUAAACUUAUCCACUUAAACAAACACUGUACCGUAUCGUACACAAGUGGUUAUUACCUUUUUGUUUUCCUUUCUAUAACACCUAUUAUCUUUGGCUUAGCAACCACCUUACCACUUCUCUCGUCAACCAUAUAUAACAUAAUACACAUCACUUCAACACAAAAUCAUGAAGUCUGUCAGGUGCCCUUUUAACCCUCUGAGGUCUGGCUAUUGUUCUGAUGUUUCCAUAUCCUGGGGUUGUAUCUGAAUGUUUGUGUCUGUAAUAAGUACACUUUCCUCCGGUCCUGGUGUUUUCUCCUGUGUACUGUGCAUUUCAUUUGGCUGGUUAGUCUCAUCUCUUUUCACAUGUGUGGUGUUUCUCUAUAACGUGCUCCCAGAGAUUCGACCACAACUUGAUUUCCUGUCUUUACGACAACUUUAUAUGGUGAUGCUUUGAAUCAUAUGGUGAACUUGUCCACUUUGUCCUGCUGUAUGAGUACCGCGUCUCCAAUGUCCACCUUUGAGUAAUGAGCUCCCCUCUGUUCAUCAGCAUAUAAUUUUGCCUUUCCUUUCACAGAUAUCUGGCAACUUUCCCCUCAUUUUUCGAUUCAAGAGCAGCUCAGCAGGGCUUUUUCUUGUGGUGGCAUGUUCAGUGCUCCUCUACAUAGUCACAUACUUUCUUAGUUCAAGUUUCCAGUUCAGUCCUCCUGCUUGGGCAAUCUUUAUUCUUUUCAUCUGCCAUGAAUUUUGGCGCUCUACUUCUCUAUUUCCUUGAGCCCAUUUUGGUGUCAUCCUCACAUGUCUGACUGUCCAUUAUUUUCACAGUAUUCCCUGAACAAGUCAGAUUUGAACUGCGGUCCAUUGUCUGAUUUGCAGGUGAUUGGUAGUCCAUGUCUGCUGAAGAUUGACUCAAGACUGUCAAUGACAUUUUCUGUGGUUGUGCUUUAUCCAUGCCAGGCCACCAAACCUUGGUUCUGAGGUGUUGUUUGGUUCCCACUAUUCCAAAUGUCCUUCAUGAGCUAGCACAAGCGCUCGUGCUUGUAGAUUUUGUGGCAGCACUAUGUGAUUUCCUCGUAGGACUAUGUAUCCCACUAUACACAGUUAAUUCGCAAUUGGUGCGAAUGAUUUACAGUUCUCAAAGUGUCCAUCUGUGAUAGCCCUGCCCUACCUCCACUAGUACCGGGUCAGUAGCAGAGGUCUCCUCCACCUCUCAGGUAGUUAAUGCUUUGGGUGUAGCACUUAUGGCCACGAACCUCACAUACUCUUCUAAUUCAUGUUUGUGUACCUCCUUUUUUUCUGUAUUUCCUAGCAGCCGUGACAGCUGGUCUGCUAUGUUCUGUUUACCAGGUAUGUGCACUACUCUGAAGUCAUAUGGUUGUCAAUGCGUGCACAUGGUUUGGAUCGUUGACUGUAUAUAACUUCCAAUGGUUUAUGAUCUGUGACUAGAUCAAACUUCCUGCCAUACAGAUAUGGAUGUAGCCUCUCACAAGCCCACACCAGAGCUAAGGCUUCACGCUCUGUCUGAGAGUACCUCCGCUCAGGCUGCAGCAAACAUAGCACACAGGUACCAUCUCUCCCCUCUGGUCCUGCACCAGUACUGCUCCUACACCUACAGGACUUGCAUCUGCAGUUACCUUUGUUGGUGCUUCUUUGUCAAAGUAGGCUAGGGUACCAGCUCUGGCUAGCUCAUCCUUUAAAGCUUAAAAUGUUUUUUUCCAUUCUGGUCCAAAGUUGAACAGUGUGUCCUUUCUGGUCAAAUGUCGUAGCGGCUCUGACAGCAUUGCAAACUGUGAUAUGAACCUACUACUGGGUACAAACAGCUUGUUGGCAACUUAAUGUUAAAUUACCCAAUAUUUAAAAUUAUUUGUUCACAGAACAAACUAAAUUAUGCUAAUGCUUGAAGCUAACCAUUAUGCUAGGUGACAGAUUAAGACAACUGCUAGCAAACUUACCCCAAGCUUUAGCAGGAAAAAAGGCUGGACCAUCUUUCUUUUUCUGCCUUUGUUCCACUUUAACUUUUAUCCAUCCAUCUUCAUCCUCCAGUCUAGAGCACUCUGUGAUCAUUUGCUGGUCUUCAAUCAAUUUUUUUGGCAGCCGCGAACGGUUGACAUCAAAGAUGCUGACAGUCAGAUGAGAUGCACGCGAACGCAAACGGAUUGCACAGCCUACUAUUGUGAGAGGUGCCCGACUGUAUCGAAAGCAUUUUGCGAUUCAGCAAGCCGGAGAUUAUUAGCUUGCUUUUGUACUCUUUGAGCUAGCUACCUCUCGGUCGAGUUUGAUGUUGAUAGCAGUUGUGUAACGUUACAACCGUGUAGGCCUACAACACGCGAAGUAAUGGCAAAACGUCUAGGACCUUAAGAUACUUGCGCGGCACAGAAGCACUUCCAAGGAGAACAGAUGGAAUGCGAAGGUAAGUAACUUUGAACCACUUUUAUUUCUGUUAUUUGUAAUUCUCAAAGCCAGUUACACAGUUGUAACUUAGUGCUUGUCUAUCAGGAUAACUUUGCUUAUAUAUAAAUUCACAUAAUGAAGAAUGACAGACAUUGCAAAAUAAAUUAUGCCAGAAUAGCAGCCUUGCGCCAACAUUCAGCAGAGAUACUAGCAAAAUAAUUAUGAUUGCACAAAAAAAGGGAACUGGACUUGUUAUUUAUACACUAAUCUGCUUUGUCUGUGUUGUACAGUAUGUACCAAAAGUGUUAUUGUGAGAACUGUUUUGGCAGGAUAUGAAAGUAAAUGGACAAAUACAAAUGCAGUAUUCUGUAUUACUAACCCAGGACAGCACAAAGAAACUAGUAAGGAUAUUUCGGCACCAUUAGGACUCAUGUCAUAUCAUGCAUGGGUAAUUAAGCUCUACAAAAGUUGAACACACAGGUACACACAGGUAGCUACUCUUUCUUUGGGAUUUGCAGCUCUGUAGGAUAUGAUGAAAUUAUUAUCAAUUUUGUUAAAAUCCACGUCAAGCAUUUCUAGAAAAAUUACAUUUUCUAGAAUAAAAGACAAUAUGCUGGAUUGAUAGUCCUGAUAGUUGUGCUGCUCGAAUUUUUACAGCUUUUUAAAUAAAUAAAACAGUAAGCGUGUGUGUGCGUGAUAAAAACAAUUAAAAUAAAACAUUAAAAUAAAUAGAUAAUACCGUAAACGUGUGUGUGUGUGUGUGUGUGUGUGUGUAU
Micropterus salmoides (largemouth bass) is the source of this 5038-nucleotide long non-coding RNA. RefSeq lists it as uncharacterized. The record is from RefSeq and is a predicted model, not a curated record. Lineage: Eukaryota; Metazoa; Chordata; Actinopteri; Centrarchiformes; Centrarchidae. The transcript is spliced from 3 exons.